Melitaea cinxia (Glanville fritillary) is the source of this 304-nucleotide long non-coding RNA. RefSeq lists it as uncharacterized. The transcript is spliced from 2 exons. Lineage: Eukaryota; Metazoa; Arthropoda; Insecta; Lepidoptera; Nymphalidae. The record is from RefSeq and is a predicted model, not a curated record.
GUCGUCCCACCGCCCGAACACGGAGUUCGCCGCCGCCAGGACGGAGCAGCGGGAGUUUAGCGUCGUCGUUAUACCAGCCUGAAACAACAAUAUAGGUAACCUUGGCGAUGGAGAUGGUCUGCUGUUCCAUAGCCUCGUGUAUGGCGACGCGGUCGUCUUCACGCAUCUUGUCGAACUCGUCGAUACACACCACACCGCCGUCCGCUAGUACCAUGGCACCGCCCUCCAUCACGAAGUUGCGCUGUAACAGUACAUUUAUAUGAAUAACUAUGUAUGUAUCAUGAAACACAUGUUUAUAUUUCCA